This 109-nucleotide ribosomal RNA is filed under the name Paramormyrops kingsleyae. The record is from RNAcentral. Lineage: Eukaryota; Metazoa; Chordata; Actinopteri; Osteoglossiformes; Mormyridae.
GUCAGCAGCCAUACCAUGUGCAGUUCAGACUAAUUAAUCCACCUGAAGGUUUGGGUUUGUCUAGGACUUGGAUAGGAGAUCAAUUAGGAAAGUUGGGUUGCUGCUGUAA